RNAcentral lists this ribosomal RNA (2773 nucleotides) under Escherichia coli. RNAcentral describes it as "bacterial LSU rRNA". It matches the Rfam family "Bacterial large subunit ribosomal RNA". Lineage: Bacteria; Pseudomonadati; Pseudomonadota; Gammaproteobacteria; Enterobacterales; Enterobacteriaceae. The record is from RNAcentral.
AGCGUACACGGUGGAUGCCCUGGCAGUCAGAGGCGAUGAAGGACGUGCUAAUCUGCGAUAAGCGUCGGUAAGGUGAUAUGAACCGUUAUAACCGGCGAUUUCCGAAUGGGGAAACCCAGUGUGUUUCGACACACUAUCAUUAACUGAAUCCAUAGGUUAAUGAGGCGAACCGGGGGAACUGAAACAUCUAAGUACCCCGAGGAAAAGAAAUCAACCGAGAUUCCCCCAGUAGCGGCGAGCGAACGGGGAGCAGCCCAGAGCCUGAAUCAGUGUGUGUGUUAGUGGAAGCGUCUGGAAAGGCGCGCGAUACAGGGUGACAGCCCCGUACACAAAAAUGCACAUGCUGUGAGCUCGAUGAGUAGGGCGGGACACGUGGUAUCCUGUCUGAAUAUGGGGGGACCAUCCUCCAAGGCUAAAUACUCCUGACUGACCGAUAGUGAACCAGUACCGUGAGGGAAAGGCGAAAAGAACCCCGGCGAGGGGAGUGAAAAAGAACCUGAAACCGUGUACGUACAAGCAGUGGGAGCACGCUUAGGCGUGUGACUGCGUACCUUUUGUAUAAUGGGUCAGCGACUUAUAUUCUGUAGCAAGGUUAACCGAAUAGGGGAGCCGAAGGGAAACCGAGUCUUAACUGGGCGUUAAGUUGCAGGGUAUAGACCCGAAACCCGGUGAUCUAGCCAUGGGCAGGUUGAAGGUUGGGUAACACUAACUGGAGGACCGAACCGACUAAUGUUGAAAAAUUAGCGGAUGACUUGUGGCUGGGGGUGAAAGGCCAAUCAAACCGGGAGAUAGCUGGUUCUCCCCGAAAGCUAUUUAGGUAGCGCCUCGUGAAUUCAUCUCCGGGGGUAGAGCACUGUUUCGGCAAGGGGGUCAUCCCGACUUACCAACCCGAUGCAAACUGCGAAUACCGGAGAAUGUUAUCACGGGAGACACACGGCGGGUGCUAACGUCCGUCGUGAAGAGGGAAACAACCCAGACCGCCAGCUAAGGUCCCAAAGUCAUGGUUAAGUGGGAAACGAUGUGGGAAGGCCCAGACAGCCAGGAUGUUGGCUUAGAAGCAGCCAUCAUUUAAAGAAAGCGUAAUAGCUCACUGGUCGAGUCGGCCUGCGCGGAAGAUGUAACGGGGCUAAACCAUGCACCGAAGCUGCGGCAGCGACGCUGAUGCGUUGUUGGGUAGGGGAGCGUUCUGUAAGCCUGCGAAGGUGUGCUGUGAGGCAUGCUGGAGGUAUCAGAAGUGCGAAUGCUGACAUAAGUAACGAUAAAGCGGGUGAAAAGCCCGCUCGCCGGAAGACCAAGGGUUCCUGUCCAACGUUAAUCGGGGCAGGGUGAGUCGACCCCUAAGGCGAGGCCGAAAGGCGUAGUCGAUGGGAAACAGGUUAAUAUUCCUGUACUUGGUGUUACUGCGAAGGGGGGACGGAGAAGGCUAUGUUGGCCGGGCGACGGUUGUCCCGGUUUAAGCGUGUAGGCUGGUUUUCCAGGCAAAUCCGGAAAAUCAAGGCUGAGGCGUGAUGACGAGGCACUACGGUGCUGAAGCAACAAAUGCCCUGCUUCCAGGAAAAGCCUCUAAGCAUCAGGUAACAUCAAAUCGUACCCCAAACCGACACAGGUGGUCAGGUAGAGAAUACCAAGGCGCUUGAGAGAACUCGGGUGAAGGAACUAGGCAAAAUGGUGCCGUAACUUCGGGAGAAGGCACGCUGAUAUGUAGGUGAAGUCCCUUGCGGAUGGAGCUGAAAUCAGUCGAAGAUACCAGCUGGCUGCAACUGUUUAUUAAAAACACAGCACUGUGCAAACACGAAAGUGGACGUAUACGGUGUGACGCCUGCCCGGUGCCGGAAGGUUAAUUGAUGGGGUUAGCGCAAGCGAAGCUCUUGAUCGAAGCCCCGGUAAACGGCGGCCGUAACUAUAACGGUCCUAAGGUAGCGAAAUUCCUUGUCGGGUAAGUUCCGACCUGCACGAAUGGCGUAAUGAUGGCCAGGCUGUCUCCACCCGAGACUCAGUGAAAUUGAACUCGCUGUGAAGAUGCAGUGUACCCGCGGCAAGACGGAAAGACCCCGUGAACCUUUACUAUAGCUUGACACUGAACAUUGAGCCUUGAUGUGUAGGAUAGGUGGGAGGCUUGGAAGUGUGGACGCCAGUCUGCAUGGAGCCGACCUUGAAAUACCACCCUUUAAUGUUUGAUGUUCUAACGUUGACCCGUAAUCCGGGUUGCGGACAGUGUCUGGUGGGUAGUUUGACUGGGGCGGUCUCCUCCUAAAGAGUAACGGAGGAGCACGAAGGUUGGCUAAUCCUGGUCGGACAUCAGGAGGUUAGUGCAAUGGCAUAAGCCAGCUUGACUGCGAGCGUGACGGCGCGAGCAGGUGCGAAAGCAGGUCAUAGUGAUCCGGUGGUUCUGAAUGGAAGGGCCAUCGCUCAACGGAUAAAAGGUACUCCGGGGAUAACAGGCUGAUACCGCCCAAGAGUUCAUAUCGACGGCGGUGUUUGGCACCUCGAUGUCGGCUCAUCACAUCCUGGGGCUGAAGUAGGUCCCAAGGGUAUGGCUGUUCGCCAUUUAAAGUGGUACGCGAGCUGGGUUUAGAACGUCGUGAGACAGUUCGGUCCCUAUCUGCCGUGGGCGCUGGAGAACUGAGGGGGGCUGCUCCUAGUACGAGAGGACCGGAGUGGACGCAUCACUGGUGUUCGGGUUGUCAUGCCAAUGGCACUGCCCGGUAGCUAAAUGCGGAAGAGAUAAGUGCUGAAAGCAUCUAAGCACGAAACUUGCCCCGAGAUGAGUUCU